AUCGCUUCUCGGCCUUUUGGCUAAGAUCAAGUGUAGUAUAUAGAUGGUUCACCUUGGAGUGCCUUUGUAAGCUGCCUUUGUAAGUCCCUUCAGGGAGAUGGUGACGAAAUAUAAAUAAACAUUAUCAUCAUCAUCAUCAUCAUCUGGGAUAGUUUAAACUAUCCCAUUUGUAUAUCUAGUCAGCACAUGCUCAUAUUAAAGAACAUGUUCUUUAGCUACAAACUAUCC
Molecule: small nuclear RNA, 228 nt
Organism: Anolis carolinensis (green anole)
Lineage: Eukaryota; Metazoa; Chordata; Lepidosauria; Squamata; Anolidae
Gene: U2
Rfam family: U2 spliceosomal RNA
About the family: U2 is a small nuclear RNA (snRNA) component of the spliceosome (involved in pre-mRNA splicing). Complementary binding between U2 snRNA (in an area lying towards the 5' end but 3' to hairpin I) and the branchpoint sequence (BPS) of the intron results the bulging out of an unpaired adenosine, on the BPS, which initiates a nucleophilic attack at the intronic 5' splice site, thus starting the first of two transesterification reactions that mediate splicing.
Source: Ensembl